Molecule: ribosomal RNA, 1922 nt
Filed under: human gut metagenome
Description: bacterial LSU rRNA
Rfam family: Bacterial large subunit ribosomal RNA (bases 452-1922)
Source: RNAcentral
GAUCAAAAUCACGAAUUCCUUUUGCCCAUGCAUCUGCCAGCAAUGAAAUAGAAUGAUUUCCUAACAUUCCUCCUGUUUCACCCGGGGAAGACCAUGAAGGCAACCAGCCGCAUUGUUCCUGGGCUGCCAAAAGAGCAUUCAUAUAACGUCCCUGCAUUGUUGGAUGCAAAAUAUUUGUCAAAGGGAAUUGAGAACGGAAUGUAUCCCAAAAUCCAUUAUCAGUAUACAUGUAACCAUCAUAAAUUUUACCAUUAUAUGGGCUAUAAUAAUAUGGUUCACCAUUUUCUUUGCGUUCAUAAAAUUUGCGAGAGAAUAAAUUAGCACGGAAAAGACAAGAGUAGAAAGUCUUCAUCUGUUCGUCCGUACAUCCUUCAACUACAAUUCUAUUCAAUACUUCAUUCCAAGUCUUCUGACCGCGUGCUUUCGUUACUUCCAGAUUCUUAUCUUUACCGAGUUCUUUAUUUAAAGUUAUCAGAGCCUGCUCUGCACUUAUGUAUGAGGAAGCUGCUUUAGCCUGAACCUUCGAGCCUUUUUUAAAUUUAAUAAAUGCACCAUAUCCUUUACUUUUUGUAGAACGGUCCGGCGAGUUAUGAUACGCGGUAAGGUUAAGGACUUAAGGUCCGGAGCCGAAGCGAAAGCGAGUGUUAAGAGCACGAGGAAUCACGUAUCAUAGACCCGAAACCGGGUGAUCUAUCCAUGUCCAGGAUGAAGCUGCCGUAAGAGGUAGUGGAGGUCCGAACACACAUCCGUUGAAAAGGGUGGUGAUGAGGUGUGGAUAGGGGAGAAAUUCCAAUCGAACCCGGAGAUAGCUGGUUCUCCUCGAAAUAGCUUUAGGGCUAGCCUCAUGAGAGUCUUUUGGAGGUAGAGCACUGAAUUCCCGCGGGGGCGUCAAAGCUUACCAAAGGAUAUCAAACUCCGAAUGCCAGUAAGAUGAUUCAUGGGAGUCAGACUACACGAGAUAAGUUGGGUAGUCAAAAGGGAAAGAGCCCAGACCUGCAGCUAAGGUCCCAAAAUGUGUGUUAAGUGGAAAAGGAUGUGGGAUUUCAAAGACAACCAGGAUGUUGGCUUAGAAGCAGCCAUACAUUAAAAGAGUGCGUAAUAGCUCACUGGUCGAGAGGUCCUGCGCCGAAAAUGUCCGGGGCUGAAACACACUACCGAAGCUCAGGAAUUAACGUAGUUAAUUGGUAGAGGAGCAUUCUUAAAGGGAAGAAGCAGUACCGGAAGGAGCUGUGGACUUUUAAGAAGAGAGAAUGCCGGAAUGAGUAGCGAGAGGAAGGUGAGAAUCCUUCCGGCCGAAUACCCAAGGUUUCCAGAGUAAAGCUGAUCUGCUCUGGGUAAGUCGGGGCCUAAGGUGAGGUCGAAAGACGUAGCCGAUGGACAACAGGUUGAAAUUCCUGUACUGCAGUAUAACAGAACUGUGGGGACGCAGAGGGAGAGCACUAGCGGGAAUGGAAUCCCGUGGCAAGCGAGGUAGGAGUCGCGUUGGCAAAUCCGCGUGACAAUCCGAAGACGUGAUGCAUACCGAACAAAAGUAGGGAAAUGUGUGAGCCAGCUGCCAAGAAAAGCCGCUAUUGUUUGUACUGUACCCGUACCGUAAACCGACACAGGUAGGUGAGGAGAGAAUCCUAAGGCCGACGGGAGAAGCAUUGUUAAGGAACUCGGCAAAAUGACUCCGUAACUUCGGGAGAAGGAGUGCCAGUGAGAGCUGGCCGCAGAGAAUUGGCCCAAGCAACUGUUUAGCAAAAACACAGGUCUAUGCAAAACCGUAAGGUGAAGUAUAUGGGCUGACGCCUGCCCGGUGCUGGAAGGUUAAGGGGAGAGGUUAGCGCAAGCGAAGCUUUGAACUUAAGCCCCAGUAAACGGCGGCCGUAACUAUAACGGUCCUAAGGUAGCGAAAUUCCUUGUCGGGUAAGUUCCGACCC